AAUACAAAUCAGCAAAAUGAAGAAAGGAAAGAUAAAAGUAAAUUUGGAGGUAGCUGUGGUUGCCCUCUGAGAUGGGGACACCCUUGCGUGCGUGCGUGCGUGUGUGUGUGUGUGUGUGUGUGUGUGUGUACUGAAAGUUCUAAACCUGCCUACAGCCUGUUUAAUAUGGAGCUCAUUUCUUUCCUGUUAGUGGUGUGAAUAGGACUUUGGGAUGGGUUGACUGCCUUUAUUUCUUAUUGAUUGUAUACUAAUGCAUUUUAUGCGUAGUAGAUAAUUCAUUUACCUAGUUCACUACUAGUUAAUACUAGCUCAUUGCUAAUAAUUUAUCAUCAUAAAUUAUGGUAAUAUUUAGUUAAGAGAAACCUCACAGCUAAACCUUACGGAGGUCAUUUUCACCCAGUUAUAUUUUUCGGUAUUUUCAGGUACAGACAUGAAAUUGCUCAUGAUGGGCAGAGGAUUUACAUCUUGGGAGGAGGGACUUCCUGGACAGCCUAUUCCUUAAACAAGAUCCACGCAUACAACCUUGAAACAAAUGCAUGGGAGGAGAUUGCAACAAAACCUCAUGAAAAAAUAGGUUUUCCUGCAGCCCGAAGAUGUCACAGUUGUGUUCAAAUAAAAAAUGGUAUGGAGUCUAAAUAAAAUUUUGAUUCAUUUCUGUAGUCUUACCUGCUGAGAAUGACUGAUUUCCUGGUUAGCUCCUCUAAAGGGGUGCAUAAUUUUGGACCAC
Alexandromys fortis (reed vole) is the source of this 727-nucleotide long non-coding RNA. RefSeq lists it as uncharacterized. The record is from RefSeq and is a predicted model, not a curated record. NCBI's taxonomy places the organism in Eukaryota, Metazoa, Chordata, Mammalia, Rodentia, Cricetidae. The transcript has 3 exons.